This is a non-coding RNA of Danio rerio (zebrafish), 1960 nucleotides long. The record is from RefSeq and is a predicted model, not a curated record. NCBI's taxonomy places the organism in Eukaryota, Metazoa, Chordata, Actinopteri, Cypriniformes, Danionidae.
CAAAAUACUUAGAUUCAAUAAACAUAAAAAACAACUUUUUUGCUUAGUUAUCCAUUUUGUUUAGUUUAUUGUACGAUUUGCAUGAUAUUUUUGAUUCUACUGGAAUGUUUAAAUUGAAUGUACUUAACAAAGCUUAUUUUAGUCUAUUGGUAAAGGAGUGAUGUGCAAGGGGAAAUGUGAUUGGCUCUUUGUCUUUGGACUGACGUCACUGGUGAAUACAGCGUGAGCGCGCAUUUUCUAAUGGCUGCUGAUCACUGUGAGUACGAUUUCAUACUUUUGUCUCAAACAGUCCACAUUGUUUUCCUUUAAUAAACAAAGUAUGUAACCGUUAGCAAGAAAACCACAUGUAAGAUUAAGCUGUGUCUGACGUUAGGAUCAUGUUAUUGUUCCGGUCAAUCGCAACCGCCAUUGCCACAUUUAUUAACAGUUCUAAGACGUGAAAAGUGCAAAGACGUGCGUAAUAGGAUCAUGAUAGAUCAUAUAUUAUGUAAAAAAAAGUUAAUGUAAGUUUUGCCUGUGUUAGCGUAUUCAUUUAUGCCACGUAUAACCGAUCACGGCCGCUGCAUUUCAUCUAUAUAAUUCGUUACAGUUACUGUACGUGGAAACAUGCUUUAUGAGGUCGUCACGUAUAAAGUUUAAUAUUGAUGCUGUAUUCGAUGAGUCAUCCGCGUUAUCUUUUGUGUAAACUGAUUAUUUUUUCAGUGGUGGUUAUGUGUCGUCAGAUGUUUAGCAUAACAUAACCUGAGCUGUUUUUAACAUUUUUUUUACUUUUUUUUUCUUGUAAGUGAAGUAUUAACUGACUAGAAUACAUUGAGAUUUGCCCCUUCGGAAAUACGAAUUCAUGUUAGUUGGCAGUUUUUAAAGAUAUGCAACCUCGUGCUCAUCAGUCUUAGCAAGUGAAUUUUCAGUUAAUUAGAAUGAAAGCUAAAUAAUUAACUGUAGCUCUCUAAUUCUUUUGAUUAACAAUAGCUGUUUGUGGGAAAUUUGGAGAUAACAGAUCAAAUUAUGUAAAUGUGUUUUGUCAGCUAGUAAUCUAAUGUAUAUUUUUGUAACUGUAGAUUGCAGAAAGAUCAAAGACAGGCCAACCAGGAUGAGAUGAAAAUGUGUAUCAAGAGUUCAACCAGAUAGUGUGGAAGAAUCUUAAGCAAGAAUUAUAUUGGUCUCUUGAUCAUCACUGCCCACAGCUGAUUCAGAUCUUCAGGUCAAAGAGAGGAUUCACUGGACAGAUUUUUAUCUUCUACAAAAUAACAAGGCGUCUGACCUCACUGACAUGCCAUGUGUUGCCAUUUGAGUGCUUCCAGUAGUUGUUGGUGAUGACCCAACAGUUCUUCAAAGCAUGUUUUGCUUCAGAUGAUGGAGACUCAAAUCAACAUGUGCUCGUUGGAAUUCUUAACCAAGAAAAUUAAGAUGUGGCUCUGCAACCCCUGUCCUUCCACCUCCACCCAUUCUCUGGGAAUCAUCUUGGAGGGAAAUGUUGUAAUGGACAAUAUAGACAAUAUUCCCCAGGCCAAGUGUCUUUUUGGAUCAACCUAUGCACUGCACCUAGGCUACACAAAAUGCAUGGACAAUACCCUUCUUUUUAUUCAACAAGUUUGGGUAAGAAGAUGCUGAAGGGUAAGAUUCUGGCUGUUAAAAAUCAACUUGUCAUGUAAACUGGUACAGAAAAGGCAUGUUCCUUCAGGCUUGCUGUCCUAACUGUGAGAUAAAAAAAAUUAAAACUAUGCUUUAGUGUUUGGCAAGUGUAAAUAUUCCAUAAUGUUAAAAUGUAAUAACAUCCUGUGGUUGUUUAUUUUUUGGAUAUGUUUGUAAAAAUGUAUUUAAAAAUUUUAAACAAGUGUUUUAAUAAGAUUUAUAACAAUAAAUAUUGACUAAUUGUUAUACAAGGCAUUUUCUAGUUUUGUCACUUGUUUCGGAGUGAUAUUUCUAAAUGAUUUUAAAUAAACUGUAAAGUAAAUUUUUA